UGGUUAACAGAGGGAAGGCAAGACCGCGAGGUGGAGCAAAUCCCUAAAAGCCAUCCCAGUUCGGAUUGCAGGCUGCAACCCGCCUGUAUGAAGUUGGAAUCGCUAGUAAUCGCGGAUCAGCAUGCCGCGGUGAAUACGUUCCCGGGCCUUGUACACACCGCCCGUCACACCAUGAGAGUCGGGAACACCCGAAGUCCGUAGCCUAACCGCAAGGGGGGCGCGGCCGAAGGUGGGUUCGAUAAUUGGGGUGAAGUCGUAACAAGGUAAC
RNAcentral lists this ribosomal RNA (268 nucleotides) under uncultured bacterium. RNAcentral's name for it is "partial 16S ribosomal RNA". It matches the Rfam family "Bacterial small subunit ribosomal RNA", at positions 1234 to 1500 of the family's 1533-position model. The record is from RNAcentral.